UACGGGGGGAGCAAGCGUUGUUCGGAUUUACUGGGCGUAAAGAGCGCGCAGGCGGCCAAGUCAGUCGAAUGUGAAAGCCCCCGGCUUAACUGGGGAGGGUCAUUCGAUACUGCUCGGCUCGAAGACAGGAGAGGGAAGCGGAAUUCCCGGUGUAGUGGUGAAAUGCGUAGAUAUCGGGAGGAACACCAGUGGCGAAGGCGGCUUUCUGGCCUGUUCUUGACGCUGAGGCGCGAAAGCUAGGGGAGCAAACGGG
This 253-nucleotide ribosomal RNA is filed under the name uncultured bacterium. RNAcentral's name for it is "partial 16S ribosomal RNA". It matches the Rfam family "Bacterial small subunit ribosomal RNA", at positions 524 to 776 of the family's 1533-position model. The record is from RNAcentral.